This 511-nucleotide ribosomal RNA is filed under the name uncultured bacterium. RNAcentral describes it as "partial 16S ribosomal RNA". It matches the Rfam family "Bacterial small subunit ribosomal RNA", at positions 28 to 507 of the family's 1533-position model. The record is from RNAcentral.
GAUGAACGCUGGCGGCGUGCCUAAUACAUGCAAGUCGAACGAAACUUCUUUAUCACCGAGUGCUUGCACUCACCGAUAAAGAGUUGAGUGGCGAACGGGUGAGUAACACGUGGGCAACCUGCCCAAAAGAGGGGGAUAACACUUGGAAACAGGUGCUAAUACCGCAUAACCAUAGUUACCGCAUGGUACUAUGUAAAAGGUGGCUAUACUACCGCUUUUGGAUGGGCCCGCGGCGCAUUAGCUAGUUGGUAGGGUAAAGGCUUACCAAGGCAAUGAUGCGUAGCCGAAUUGAUAGGUUGAUCGGCCACAUUGGGACUGAGACACGGCCCAAACUCCUACGGGAGGCAGCAGUAGGGAAUCUUCCACAAUGGGCGAAAGCCUGAUGGAGCAACGCCGCGUGGGUGAAGAAGGUCUUCGGAUCGUAAAACCCUGUUGUUAGAGAAGAAAGUGCGUGAGAGUAACUGUUCACGUUUCGACGGUAUCUAACCGGAAAGCCACGGCUAACUACGUG